UACAGAGGUCUCAAGCGUUGUUCGGAUUCAUUGGGCGUAAAGGGUGCGUAGGCGGUCUCAUAAGUCGGGUGUGAAAGCCCCGGGCUCAACCCGGGAAGUGCACUCGAAACUGCGAGGCUAGAGUACUGGAGAGGUUGGUGGAAUUCUCGGUGUAGAGGUGAAAUUCGUAGAUAUCGAGAGGAACACCGGUGGCGAAGGCGGCCAACUGGACAGAUACUGACGCUGAGACACGAAAGCGUGGGGAGCAAACAGG
This 253-nucleotide ribosomal RNA is filed under the name uncultured bacterium. RNAcentral describes it as "partial 16S ribosomal RNA". It matches the Rfam family "Bacterial small subunit ribosomal RNA", at positions 524 to 776 of the family's 1533-position model. The record is from RNAcentral.